AUCUUUAGUUCCUUACAACUGACCAAAUUCCCAAUUCCCUUUUCCAUUAACCCUAAUUCAGUCAUUCCCUUCCCUCUUUUCUAGUCAGCUUCAGGCUUCAAAUCCCAUAACAUCCGACAACAAAUUCGACGGUCAGACACGAAGCUCCCGCAACAAUUUGAUUCGGUUCCCUCGAGCUUCCAGCGACCAGUCACACAAAUCACACCAGAGAAGAAAAAACAGAAGAAAUAGAAGAAGUGGAAGAUUGUCUGUAUAGGAGGGGGAAUGAAGUUUCUGGAUUGGUAUGUGAAAAUAGCAGUAGGUUCUGCUUUGAUUGGAGCUUCCAUGGAGUUGUUCAUGAUCAAGACCGGUUUCUGUGAGAAUCUUCCAUUUCAUCCUCUUAUUUGCAAAUCUUAACCUUUUCAUUUAUACUUGUUAUUGGAUUAAUGUCUUUAUGCUCUGAAAUGCUUCCAUCUGUUGCAUCUUAUUAGUUAAUUUUGGAGGUUCUUUAUGGAAUUUCCGUGCUUAAUCGGCUCCCAAUUCCGAAAGUUCUAUUCUUGAUUCUUUCUCUAAAAAAAUAGAUAGCAGAUUGCCAUUGACUUUUAGCUCUAGUUGUUUGAUUAACAAUAGCUUUUCUCUUCAGAUCCUCCUAGAUUUUGUUCAAAUUAUGUGAAUUAAAUUUUUGUCGCGCUUAUGAUUUUGAUUAAAAUUGGUAUAUUUGUUCAGAUUAUUGUAUAUUUCUUUUGUCUAGUUGUUAUGAUAAAGGAUGCAAUGUUUGCUUCACAAUUUUUCACAAUAUUGCUAUUGUAUGUUAAUGUUUUGAAUUGAAGUUUUGUUAUGAUUCCAUUCCAAGGAAUGGUCCUUUCAAGUUUAAAUUUCACGAGUGUUAAUUGGGUUAACAAUGAGCUUUGGAGUCUAACAUCUACUCGAGCUCAAAUUAAAAGUUGGAUGUCAUGCUCGGAAAUCAUGAAAUCAAGCAUCUUUUGACACCAUAGCAAACCAUUGCUCAUUUUUUGAAGUCUGUAGCAUAGUUGAGGUGCUUGUGAACAUGUCUUUGUUGGAUGAUUUGCUGAUUGAUUUGUGUGUUUGAGUAAGGCUUUAACCUUUUAACAAAAAACUUGAGCUUUUUCCAAUUCCUCUGUUAUUGUCAUUGCAUGCUUGCCCCUGUUGUUUGAUGUCAUAUAGUGGAAUUGUUCCGUGUUAGACUGCACCAAGAGCACCUAACACAUUUAUCAAUUAGUUUACGACUUUAAUUUACCUGUUAUGGUUUCAUGCAGAUGAUAAAGUGACUGUUCUGGAGUCAGAGAAGCGGGCAUGGGAGAGCUCCCCUGAAGCUCAGGCAAUCAGAGAAGCACUGGAUCCUUGGAGAAACCAUGAUGCAGAAGCAAGAAAAAGCUCCUAAGUUUUAUAUAAUCAAUUCAAUUAGCCAAGAACGUAGCUGAGCUUAAAAAAACAGCCCUUAAUGUCAAAGCUGAUAUGUUAGGUGCAAUGGUUGUGGAAGCAGCUCAAAUCCUGAAUUGCC
RNAcentral lists this unclassified non-coding RNA (1501 nucleotides) under Hevea brasiliensis (rubber tree). Lineage: Eukaryota; Viridiplantae; Streptophyta; Magnoliopsida; Malpighiales; Euphorbiaceae. The record is from RNAcentral.